CCUACGGGAGGCAGCAGUGGGGAAUAUUGCACAAUGGGGGAAACCCUGAUGCAGCGACGCCGCGUGAGUGAAGAAGUAUUUCGGUAUGUAAAGCUCUAUCAGCAGGGAAGAAGAAAGACGGUACCUGACUAAGAAUCCCCGGCAAACUACGUGCCAGCAGCGGCGUUAUUACGUAGGGGGCAAGCUUUAUCCGGAUUUACUGGGCGUAAAGGGAGCGUAGACGGCAGUGCAAGUCUGAAGUGAAAGCCGAGGGCUCAACCCUGGGACUGCUUUGGAAACUGUGGGGCUGGAGUGCGGGAGAGGAAAGUGGAAUUCCUAGGUGAGCGGUGAAAUGCGUAGAGAUUAGGAGGAACACCAGUGGCGAAGGCGGCUUACUGGACUGUAACUGACGUUGAGGCUCGAAAGCGUGGGGAGCAAACAGGAUGAGAUACCCGAGUAGUC
This 441-nucleotide ribosomal RNA is filed under the name uncultured bacterium. RNAcentral's name for it is "partial 16S ribosomal RNA". It matches the Rfam family "Bacterial small subunit ribosomal RNA", at positions 338 to 795 of the family's 1533-position model. The record is from RNAcentral.